RNAcentral lists this ribosomal RNA (370 nucleotides) under uncultured eukaryote. Its description in RNAcentral is "partial 18S ribosomal RNA". It matches the Rfam family "Eukaryotic small subunit ribosomal RNA", at positions 592 to 976 of the family's 1831-position model. The record is from RNAcentral.
CAAUAGCGUAUAUUAAAGUUGUUGCAGUUAAAAAGCUCGUAGUUGGACCUUGGACCUGGACAGGCGGUCCGCCUCACGGCGUGUACUGUCUUGCUGGGUCUUUCCUCUUGGUGGUCUGUUGUUUCGGCAGCAGGGAACCAGGACUUUUACUUUGAAAAAAUUAGAGUGUUCAAAGCAGGCUCGACGCCGGAAUAUAUUAGCAUGGAAUAAUAAAAUAGGACGUGCGGUUCUAUUUUGUUGGUUUUUGGAAUCGCCGUAAUGAUUAAUAGGGACAGUCGGGGGCAUUAGUACUCACAUGCUAGAGGUGAAAUUCUUGGAUUUUGUGAAGACUAACUUCUGCGAAAGCAUUUGCCAAGGAUGUUUUCAUUAA